Molecule: ribosomal RNA, 375 nt
Filed under: Triticum aestivum (bread wheat)
Lineage: Eukaryota; Viridiplantae; Streptophyta; Magnoliopsida; Poales; Poaceae
Description: partial small subunit ribosomal RNA
Source: RNAcentral
GUAAUAGAUGAGCUCUUGGAUGAAUUAUAUGGUGCUCAAUGGUUUACAAAGCUGGAUCUCAGGGCUGGUUAUCAUCAAAUUAGAUUGGCACCUGGAGAGGAAUACAAGACAGCCUUCGAGACACAUCAUGGUCAUUUUGAGUUUCUGGUGGUUGGUUUUGGCUUAACAGGGGCACCUAACACCUUCCAAGGAGCCAUCAAUGUUUCUCUGUCACAAGAACCUGAAAUGCUAAGAACUUUUGUAUUGGCCUUCUUCGAUGAUAUUCUGAUUUUCAGUAAAACACUGAAGCAACACUUGGAACAUGUCAGGAAGGUCUUGGAAGUACUCAGAAAGGACAAGUGGUAUGUCAAAAUUUCCAAAUGUGAGUUUGCCUCU